RNAcentral lists this ribosomal RNA (253 nucleotides) under uncultured bacterium. RNAcentral's name for it is "partial 16S ribosomal RNA". It matches the Rfam family "Bacterial small subunit ribosomal RNA", at positions 524 to 776 of the family's 1533-position model. The record is from RNAcentral.
UACAGAGGUAUCGAGCGUUGUUCGGAUUCAUUGGGCGUAAAGGGCGCGUAGGCGGCGGGGUAAGUCUGGUGUGAAAUCUCGGAGCUCAACUUCGAAAUUGCACUGGAUACUGCUCUGCUAGAGGGCUGGAGAGGAGAUCGGAAUUCACGGUGUAGCAGUGAAAUGCGUAGAUAUCGUGAGGAAGACCAGUGGCGAAGGCGGAUCUCUGGACAGCUCCUGACGCUGAGGCGCGAAGGCUAGGGGAGCAAACGGG